Molecule: ribosomal RNA, 539 nt
Filed under: uncultured bacterium
Lineage: Bacteria
Description: bacterial SSU rRNA
Rfam family: Bacterial small subunit ribosomal RNA
Source: RNAcentral
AGACAAUAGAUACCCUGGUAGUCCACGCCGUAAACGAUGGAUGCUAGCUGUUAUCAGUAUCGACCCUGGUAGUAGCGAAGCUAACGCGUUAAGCAUCCCGCCUGGGGAGUACGGUCGCAAGAUUAAAACUCAAAGGAAUUGACGGGGACCCGCACAAGCGGUGGAGCGUGUUGUUUAAUUCGACGCUAAGCGAAGAACCUUACCAAGGUUUGACAUCUCGGGAAAGUCUCCGAAAGGAGACCGUGCCUUCGGGAACCCGAUGACAGGUGUUGCAUGGCCGUCGUCAGCUCGUGUCGUGAGAUGUUUGGUUAAGUCCCAUCAACGAGCGCAACCCUUGUAGUCUGUUGUAUUUCUCAGGCUAGACUGCCCCGGUAACGGGGAGGAAGGAGGGAUGAUGUCAGGUCAGUAUUACCCUUACACCUUGGGCCACAAACACGCUACAAUGGCCGGUACAAAGGGCUGCCAAGCAGCAAUGCGGAGCAAAUCCCAUCAAAGCCGGUCUCAGUUCGGAUUGUAGGCUGAAACUCGCCUGCAUGAAG